Molecule: ribosomal RNA, 537 nt
Filed under: Rhodotorula mucilaginosa
Lineage: Eukaryota; Fungi; Basidiomycota; Microbotryomycetes; Sporidiobolales; Sporidiobolaceae
Description: LSU rRNA
Rfam family: Eukaryotic large subunit ribosomal RNA
Source: RNAcentral
GGGAAGAGCUCAAAUUUAUAAUCUGGCACCUUCGGUGUCCGAGUUGUAAUCUCUAGAAAUGUUUUCCGCGUUGGACCGCACACAAGUCUGUUGGAAUACAGCGGCAUAGUGGUGAGACCCCCGUAUAUGGUGCGGACGCCCAGCGCUUUGUGAUACAUUUUCGAAGAGUCGAGUUGUUUGGGAAUGCAGCUCAAAUUGGGUGGUAAAUUCCAUCUAAAGCUAAAUAUUGGCGAGAGACCGAUAGCGAACAAGUACCGUGAGGGAAAGAUGAAAAGCACUUUGGAAAGAGAGUUAACAGUACGUGAAAUUGUUGGAAGGGAAACGCUUGAAGUCAGACUUGCUUGCCGAGCAAUCGGUUUGCAGGCCAGCAUCAGUUUUCCGGGAUGGAUAAUGGUAGAGAGAAGGUAGCAGUUUCGGCUGUGUUAUAGCUCUCUGCUGGAUACAUCUUGGGGGACUGAGGAACGCAGUGUGCCUUUGGCGGGGGUUUCGACCUCUUCACACUUAGGAUGCUGGUGGAAUGGCUUUAAACGACCCGUC